This 176-nucleotide ribosomal RNA is filed under the name Citrobacter sp. TBCS-15. RNAcentral describes it as "partial 23S ribosomal RNA". It matches the Rfam family "Bacterial large subunit ribosomal RNA", at positions 1796 to 1967 of the family's 2925-position model. The record is from RNAcentral. Lineage: Bacteria; Pseudomonadati; Pseudomonadota; Gammaproteobacteria; Enterobacterales; Enterobacteriaceae.
UAGCAACUGUUUAUCAAAAACACAGCUCUCUGCUAAACCGCAAGGUGAUGUAUAGGGGGUGACGCCUGCCCGGUGCUGGAAGGUUAAGAGGAGUGCUUAGACGUAAGUCGAAGGUAUGAAUUGAAGCCCCAGUAAACGGCGGCCGUAACUAUAACGGUCCUAAGGUAGCGAAAUUC